RNAcentral lists this transfer RNA (69 nucleotides) under Ictidomys tridecemlineatus (thirteen-lined ground squirrel). Its description in RNAcentral is "Spermophilus tridecemlineatus (thirteen-lined ground squirrel) tRNA". It matches the Rfam family "tRNA". Rfam says of the family: Transfer RNA (tRNA) molecules are approximately 80 nucleotides in length. Lineage: Eukaryota; Metazoa; Chordata; Mammalia; Rodentia; Sciuridae. The record is from Rfam by way of RNAcentral.
GGGGUCAUAGCUCAGUGGCAGAGUGCUUGCUUAGCAUGCAUGAGGCACUGGGUUCAAUUCUCAGCACCA